Molecule: ribosomal RNA, 253 nt
Filed under: uncultured bacterium
Lineage: Bacteria
Description: partial 16S ribosomal RNA
Rfam family: Bacterial small subunit ribosomal RNA
Source: RNAcentral
UACGAAGGGGGCAAGCGUUGUUCGGAAUUACUGGGCGUAAAGCGCACGUAGGCGGCAUUGUAAGUCGGAUGUGAAAGCCCGGGGCGCAACCUCGGAACUGCCUUUGAUACUGCCAGGCUGGAGUCCCGGAGAGGUGGGCGGAAUUCCUGGUGUAGAGGUGAAAUUCGUAGAUAUUCGGAGGAACACCAGUGGCGAAGGCGGCCCUCUGGUCAGGUACUGACGCUGAGGUGCGAAAGCGUGGGGAGCAAACAGG